RNAcentral lists this transfer RNA (70 nucleotides) under Antedon mediterranea. RNAcentral describes it as "transfer RNA-Ala". It matches the Rfam family "tRNA". Rfam says of the family: Transfer RNA (tRNA) molecules are approximately 80 nucleotides in length. Their secondary structure includes four short double-helical elements and three loops (D, anti-codon, and T loops). Lineage: Eukaryota; Metazoa; Echinodermata; Crinoidea; Comatulida; Antedonidae. The record is from RNAcentral.
GUGAAAAUAAUUUAAACUAAAAUAUUUGCCUUGCACGCAAAAAAUUUAGGCCACAAACCUAAUUUUUACA